Anopheles stephensi (Asian malaria mosquito) is the source of this 7335-nucleotide RNA transcript. The record is from RefSeq and is a predicted model, not a curated record. NCBI's taxonomy places the organism in Eukaryota, Metazoa, Arthropoda, Insecta, Diptera, Culicidae.
CCUGGUGUACGUAUCUUUUGAGGGCAUUCGUCGAUGUCGCUGGUGGUAUUCGCUGGAAGGUGGAAGUUUAAGUUUGUCGUGCGUUGAGAGGUUGAGUUAGUUUUCAAGUUUUCCGCAAAUCUAACUUUGUUACUGUGCUUGUUGCGCUGUGUUUUUACUCCGUUUGGCCGCUGCUCGUGACUUUCGUUUCGUUAAAGUUCUAACUGCAAACAGGUGGUGUGUGAACGGUCGUGUGAAUGUUCCAAUCUCGUCGUGUUCGCGAGUGCAGUGGCCGUUUUAACCGUUAUGUCUGCUGCUGCAAGGCAAUAGCAUUGUAGUGACGAAGAAAGUAAGCCAUUCUGCGGAUCAGCUUUCUCAGCUCUUUUCGUUAACCUGUGGCACAGCGAAGGUGUACGGUGGCGGGUUAAAAGUUUUGCGUUUUUUUUAGUGUAAGUGACCAACUACGGUUAUGCUUUAAUUAAGUGAGGGAGUUGUUUGCUGCAAGAGAAUGUCGUGAAAGAAACCAAGGCAAAGGCCGUGGAACCGCGCACCCAGUGCAAUGCAAAAAAAAAUUGCUAGAAGCAUAAGAGAAAAGAAUUCCGUGAGUUUCUUCGUGUGGCGGUGUUUGUGAGUUGUGUGCUCAUCGUUCACCCACUGGUGCAGUGAAAUGAAAGGUUACACUGAAAGUGAAGUUACAUCGUAAGAAAAUCGUGGUAACCAAACAGCCGGUGGUGUGUGUGUGCGACGUAAACCGGCACGUUCAAAUGUGAUUGCGAAAUAUGCUUAGUUAGCUGUUAAAAAAGAAGAAUAGUCGUUGUGUUCCCCCAGCACAAAUCUAACCGCAGGGAAACCCCUUACAGGUCGUACACAGUGGUGCGUUCAUGUGCAUAUGAUUAGAGCGUGCGUGCAUGAGUGCGUGCAAGCAAAAAGUGAAAGUGUUCUCGCUCGUAGGGCUCAUCUAAAUGGUGCAUUCCGUCGCCAAAAGCAGCAGCAGCAGCAGCAGCAGUAGCAGCAGCAAUGACGCAAGCGAAGGAGGAUCUAUCCAAGGAUAUUGCGCCGGCGGGCGACGGAGGGGGCGGUACCGGUGUCGGUGCCGCAAUCGGUUUCCAUAAUCAUGCACAGCAGCCACAUCAUCACCAUCAGCAGACACAACAUCCACUGCACCCACACCAGGAACAUCCGCUCGAAUCAUCCGGAGACCACGUGAAGUACGUGUUUCCGGGUUCAUCCCAGGCAGCUGGAUCUCAGGCGGCUCAGGCUGCUCAGCUGAUCGGUGGUGGGGUGAACUCCGUCGCCGGCACGACUACAAAUCCGUCGGCUGGCCGAAUAAUGCUAGAGUACCAGCGUCCUACCGGCGGAGGUCACUCGCGCUCGGUUAGCCAUGGUGAAGGUUCGUUCGGGGGGUCGCUGGUUGGUAGUGGCGGAGCUGCCGGACGACCUUCAGCCUUGAAAUCGGCGGUCAAGGGAGGUCACCAGCGGGCCCUGUCCCAGGGUCAAAUCAUGGAUGCACCAACGAUCGCAACCCGGGGUCACAGUCGGGUUGGAUCGAAAACCGACUUUAUCCUACCACCCGGUCACAAAGAUCAACCGGAGCAGCGGGACGCAGCACCUCCACACUCGGCCACCUCCAUCAAGGGCCACUCGCGGCAAGCAUCACGAUCGGAGUCGAUCUACACCUUGCGCCGAGCCGACAAACCACCCUGGUGGAAGCGUCUCAUGUUCUGCCGAACGGCUAACAGCAAGCUCGAGGAUCGAGGCUACCGGAUAGUGGUCCCGAACCAUACCGUACCGCCCAAAACUCCCAAACGGGACCAUCCGAAUGGGCGCCUGUGCGGCAAUAAAAUCCGCACCACCAAGUACACGCUUCUUUCGUUCGUACCGAAAAAUUUGCUCGAACAGUUUCAUCGAAUUGCGAAUCUGUACUUCAUCUUCAUCGUGCUGCUCAACUGGUUCCCGCAGAUCAAUGCGUUUGGGAAAGAAAUUGCCAUGAUCCCGGUACUGUUUGUGCUCGGGGUUACCGCGAUAAAAGAUUUGUUUGAGGAUCGCCGCCGAAAAGCGUCCGAUAAGCGGAUCAACAACUCAACCUGCCGCGUGUAUAAUGGUGAAUCAGAACGCUACAAGAAAGUUCUCUGGCAAGAUGUGCGCGUCGGAGAUCUGGUCCACCUGUCCAACAACGAGACUGUGCCGGCCGACAUACUGCUGCUCAAAUCAAGCGAUCCACACGGUGUUUGCUACAUCGACACGUGUGAUCUGGAUGGGGAGACUAACUUAAAACGACGGCAGGUGGUACGAGGCUUUGUCGAGAAGCAACAUAUCUUCGCACCGAACAAGUUCAUCAGUCGAAUCGAGGUCGAUGCACCGUCAACGAAAAUCUACCGCUUCCACGGUGCUGUGAUACAUCCCUCCGGCGAACGAGUCCCUGUUUCAACCGAAAGCUUGCUGCUGAGAGAAAGUCGCCUAAAGAACACGGACUAUGCGGAAGGAAUCGUUGUCUAUGCGGGGCACGAAACCAAAGCGAUGCUAAACAACAGCGGUCCCAGGUAUAAGCGAUCGCGCGUCGAACAGCAGAUGAACAUCGAUGUGAUAUGGUGUGUUAUCAUAUUGAUCGUGCUUUGUAUCAUCGGUGCCGUCGGGUGCAAGCUGUGGCUUUCCUUCUAUGCCACCGAUGCGGACAAUGACGAUACCUCCGGUGGCAGUGCCAACGAUACAUUCCGAAUACCGUUCCUGCCGUUCGAAAUCAGUCCCGACUAUGAAGGGUUGCUAGCCUUCUGGACGUUUGUCAUAAUCUUGCAGAUCAUGAUACCGCUCUCGCUGUACGUUACGAUCGAGCUGUGCAAGCUGAUGCAGGUGUACCACAUACACAACAACAUAGAGCUGUACGAUCCGGACUCGAACAAGCGUACCGAAUGCCGGGCGAUGAACAUCACCGAGGAGCUCGGCCAAAUACAGUAUGUGUUUUCGGAUAAAACGGGCACGCUGACGGAAAACCGCAUGAUAUUCCGGCGCUGCACGAUCGUGGGCGUGGACUACAACCACCCGGAGACGGAGGAGGAAAAGGAGCUGAACAAGAUUGGUGCACCGGUUCCGAUUCUCCAGCCAAAUCUAAGUUUGCUUGAAAACUUCCGAGGCAAUGCACCACCAUCUUUGCUGGAGACGAACCCGGGAAUCGGUCGAGGAACGAGUGAGGGUGGAAAUGAAACUGUCGCUAAUCAAAUACAGGAAUUCUUUCUGGUGCUGGCUAUAUGCAACACGGUGGUAGUGAGUGCGACCCCGCACAGGGAUAACAUGAAUGCGAGCGGUGUGAUCGAGAUGAACGAUAGCGAUACGAGCGUUACGCUUGUGCGUCCCGCGUUGGUCGAGUCGGACGGAGGAAGUCUCCCGCUUGCGGCGUGUGAUCCGAUGGUCGGGGAUCGGUACGCUCGGCUGACGGAGUCUCGAUCCAUUACGCCUUCUCCGCCACCGAAUGCGCCUUCCUCGCUGCCCCUAAAAGCAACACACGUGCCAUCACUGUCGCCGAUCAGCAGCUCGGCGGAAACAUCGCCUAUGUCGGAAAGUCCACCGAUGCGGCUAAAAUCACUGACCACGCCGACGGCAAAGGUGAAAUCGCUCGUAGCCAAGCUGGGCAACGUGGCCAGUGGUGCGAAGGGUGGUGGAGUUUUUAAGAGCGUUGACAGGAGCAGUACCGGCAGCACUAGCAGCAGCAAAAAUCGAUUCGCAUCGAACAAUAGCAGCAGUGGCGCCUCAAAAUUCCACAAGUCUUUCUCCCAAGGUUCGUCAUCGCCUGCCUCCAGUCGACCAAUCUACGAAGCGGAAAGCCCCGACGAACUGGCCCUUGUCAAUGCGGCCUUCAGCUACGACUGCUGUCUGGUGAACCGCAGCCCAAACCAUGUCCUGGUCAGCAUCCCAGGUGAAGGCGUUAUAGAGUACGAGGUGCUGAAAGUGCUUCCUUUCGAUUCGGCCCGCAAGUGUAUGUCGGUGGUGGUACGUCGAACCGGCACGCAGGAGGUGGUACUGUAUACGAAGGGUGCGGACAGUAGCAUCAUGCCAAAUCUAGUACCGUGCACACCAGGCUCGGAAGAGUAUCGGUUGCGAGAGCAGACCCAGCACCAGCUUAAUGUGUACGCCCGGCAGGGUUUGCGUGUGCUAGUCAUGGCAAAGCGAAAGUUAGAUCCGACCGACUUUAGCGAAUGGUACAGCAAGCACGAAGAAUGCGAACUAAGCAUGGAGAGCCGGGAGCGUAAGAUCCGCGAUUCGUUCGUGCUGCUCGAAAGAGGCUUAACCCUCGUCGGGACAACCGGUAUUGAGGAUCGUUUGCAGGAAGGUGUUCCCGAGACGAUCAGCUCGCUGCUGCAAGCCGGCAUCGUUAUUUGGGUGCUGACGGGUGAUAAGGCCGAAACGGCCAUCAACAUUGCAUACUCAGCCAAGUUGUUCAACUCGCAGAUGGACAUUCUAAAGCUGACGGCACGAUCACGCGACUCGGCGGAAGCAAGCAUAAACUUUUACCUCAACGAAAUCGAAAAACAACUCAACUCCAACGGUGCGCCCACCGAUGACGACGCGUUCGAUCAGCUGGACAAAACACGAGCCCUUGUUGUGGACGGUAAAACGUUGACCUUCAUCCUGGAUCUGCGGUCCAAUCUCACCAAGCCAUUCCUAAGACUGACCCGCUACUGUUCGUCCGUGCUGUGCUGUCGCGCGACCCCGCUACAAAAAGCGUUCCUCGUGAAGGUGGUUAAGGAGGAACUGCGGAUCAGCACACUAGCUAUCGGCGAUGGAGCUAACGAUGUUUCAAUGAUACAGAUGGCCGACGUUGGCGUGGGUAUCUGCGGACAGGAAGGCAUGCAGGCUGUAAUGGCUUCGGACUUUUCCAUUGCCAAGUUUAAAAUGCUGGAAAAAUUGCUGCUCGUUCACGGACACUGGAAUUACGAUCGGCUGGCGCGCAUGAUCAUAUACUUUUUCUACAAAAAUGCGGCAUUCGUGUUUCUUCUGUUCUGGUAUCAAUUUUACUGCGGAUUUUCCGGUGCUGUCAUGAUCGAUCAGGUGUACUUAAUGAUCUACAAUUUACUAUUUACUGCCUUGCCUCCGUUGGCGAUCGGGGUGUACGAUAAGAAGAUUAUCGACGACCUUCUGCUGGCCUAUCCGCAGUUGUAUCAGCAUGGUCGUCGGGGGAAGGGCUAUAAGUGGUCGACGUUUUGGAUCGUGAUGCUCGAUGCGGUGUACCAGAGUUUGGUGAUAUUUUUCGUAGCGAAGGCAGCGUACUGGGGCUCGGACGUGGACAUAUGGGUGUUUGGUACGACUAUCACAUCGUCCUGCCUGUUUACGAUGCUGCUACACUGUGCCAUAGAAAUUAAAUCAUGGACAAUCUUACAUGUCUUGUCGAUCGUGAUCAGCCUGGUGUCGUUCUAUGCGUUUGCAUUUGCGUACAAUUCAGUUUGUGUCAACUGCUUCGGAUUGCCAUCCAACUAUUGGGUUAUCCACAUGAGCAUGAGUACAGUGCAGUAUUAUCUGAUUACGUUGCUUUCUUCCGUACUUGCGCUCUUACCACGAUUCACGUACCGCGUGAUCAAAAAUACCAUUUGGCCCUGCGAAGGCGUGCGGGUAACGCUGCAGUACAAGGAAGAAAAACGAAGAGGUGAGAAUCUGCUGGUAACCUGGUCUCGUUCGACGUCUGCCUCAUCCAUAUUCAGGUACUUAACACACACAACCUCAAGCAAUCACUCGAAAUCCAGUACGCUGAUCACGAGAAAGCGUUCCGCCACGACCACUGCGGCCGUCGGUGGAAUACUCGAGCGCAAUGCACCACGGCAGCGUUUCGGUUACUAAGCGCCGAGCAGAGCAAAGCAAACUCCCUCCGUCCGAUGUAGUAUAUGCGGAGGAAACGAUCGAACCAUCAUCAUCUAUCAGCAGCAUGUCCAAGCCUUCAAUAUCUGUCUAAUUUCGAUCCACUGCGAGAAGCCUUCGGCAGUAGAUUGCGUUACUUGUUAACAUCCCUGGGGAACCUCCCAUCACAGGGCUUCGCAUAAGGCUGUAAACGGAAGGUAACAUCGUCGCUUCAAAAAGCUACUGCCCAACAUUCGAUCGUCCAGGCGGAGGACUGUGCACUUGUUUUAAAAGGAACCCGAUAACACUAAUCACCGCUGCUGUAAACUAAAGAAAAGAAGGAAAACACAACACUCUAAUGGCUCUACUUUCCAGUGAUACCCAAAACAAUCAAAACGAAACGUAACAGGAACAUUGUUCUGGUGGCGGCCUUAUCACACGCGUCAAGCUGUUUGGGACUGAAUUGGUCGUCCAUAUCCUAACCCCCUUUCGUUUGUAUUAAAAUGGACAAGCUCGUUGUUAGUAUUGUAAUGCUUUGUAGAAAUCGAUCAUAAAACAGUUAUUUAUUGCCCGGCCUCCCGGUGUUUGGACCAGGGCCUAGAGCGCGCAUAGAGAAAAUCGCAAAUUAAUUCUUCUCCCAAAAGAAGUCUGGAAGGAUCGGUUUUUGAGGUUGUUGUGAGUGAUGGAGCGACAGUUAGAAGGUUAAUGUUGCUAGCGCGCGGAUGAGUCAAUAUAGAUGCUGCGACCACGGCUGUGAAUGUGAAUGCUUAAUCGCGGGCGCUCCGUAAAGAACUGCGAUUUGAAAGGUGCGCGAGCGCGCGUGAGAAAAAGAGAGCGGGAGCGAGAGAGAGACAGGGGGGGUUCAUAAUACAAUAAUUUAAAUCUAUCUUAGACGACAAUAAAAGGUAAUAAGAUGGCGGUCGCAACAGGGGAAAACUAUUUGAAAAGAAUGUAUGCAUUUAAUGUAGACCAAUAACACACGGAAUUAGUGUAGCUAAUGAGUAAUGAGUAAUGAAAAGACGACCCGAAGUGCCUCCGAAGAACCGCCCGAGGUGUGGCACGCUUUAUUGAGUAUGUGCAUAAUCGCUAGGCUUAAAUCUAAUUUAACUACCGCUUACUGUUAACGAUGCUGAUGAAGAUACAAGGCAACUGUAAGGAACCCGUAGCCUUUAAAGCUGCUGCUCGAAGAGGCAGCAUAUGAGCAUGUAUUAUACGCAACAUGGGAAGAAGGCUGAGCAGCUGCCGUUUAAAAACGGUGAAUAAUGGAGCACACUUGACGCGCUAAAUUCGUUGGCAAAGAGAUGCGGCUUAAUAAGUGAUAGGAACACCUUUGCAAUCCCUGCAUCCAAUAUCCUGUACCCUGUGGCAACAUUCGCUGUACAUAGUCCGAUCAGCAUGAAAGAGUGCACGUUAACGAUAGGAGGAACAGAGUUGGCAGCAUCCGCCGCGCGCACCGUUAAAACAAAACCAGAUGGAAUAUUUUUUAUACAUUGUGAGAGAAAUAAAACGACGAGGAAAAACGUGUAAAAACCCCUA